RNAcentral lists this non-coding RNA (102 nucleotides) under Clostridium botulinum. RNAcentral describes it as "Azaaromatic sequence". It matches the Rfam family "azaaromatic riboswitch aptamer (yjdF RNA)". Lineage: Bacteria; Bacillati; Bacillota; Clostridia; Eubacteriales; Clostridiaceae. The record is from RNAcentral.
UAAGUAAGAGAUAAAAACACAGUUCUGUUGGUAGUCAGAACCUAUAAUAAAUAUAUAGCAGUAACCUGCCCUCCUGGGUUGUCCGUUCUCUUAUAAGUUUUU